Molecule: ribosomal RNA, 304 nt
Filed under: Candidatus Nitrosopumilus sp.
Lineage: Archaea; Thermoproteati; Nitrososphaerota; Nitrososphaeria; Nitrosopumilales; Nitrosopumilaceae
Description: bacterial SSU rRNA
Rfam family: Archaeal small subunit ribosomal RNA
Source: RNAcentral
AAUCCGGUUGAUCCUGCCGGACCUGACUGCUAUCGGAUUGAUACUAAGCCAUGCGAGUCAUUGUAGUAAUACAAGGCAGACGGCUCAGUAACGCGUAGUCAACCUAACCUAUGGACGGGAAUAACCUCGGGAAACUGAGUAUAAUGCCCGAUAGAACAUUAUGCCUGGAAUGGUUUAUGUUCCAAAUGAUUUAUCGCCGUAGGAUGGGACUGCGGCCUAUCAGUUUGUUGGUGAGGUAAUGGCCCACCAAGACUAUUACAGGUACGGGCUCUGAGAGGAGUAGCCCGGAGAUGGGUACUGAGAC